This 482-nucleotide ribosomal RNA is filed under the name uncultured bacterium. RNAcentral's name for it is "partial 16S ribosomal RNA". It matches the Rfam family "Bacterial small subunit ribosomal RNA", at positions 30 to 507 of the family's 1533-position model. The record is from RNAcentral.
AUUGAACGCUGGCGGCAUGCUUUACACAUGCAAGUCGAACGGUAACGGGCCGCAAGGUGCUGACGAGUGGCGAACGGGUGAGUAAUGCAUCGGAACGUGCCCAGUCGUGGGGGAUAACUACUCGAAAGAGUAGCUAAUACCGCAUACGAUCUAUGGAUGAAAGCGGGGGACCGUAAGGCCUCGCGCGAUUGGAGCGGCCGAUGUCAGAUUAGGUAGUUGGUGGGGUAAAGGCUCACCAAGCCAACGAUCUGUAGCUGGUCUGAGAGGACAACCAGCCACACUGGGACUGAGACACGGCCCAGACUCCUACGGGAGGCAGCAGUGGGGAAUUUUGGACAAUGGGCGCAAGCCUGAUCCAGCAAUGCCGCGUGCAGGAAGAAGGCCUUCGGGUUGUAAACUGCUUUUGUACGGAACGAAACGGCUCUGGUUAAUACCCGGGGCUAAUGACGGUACCGUAAGAAUAAGCACCGGCUAACUACGUG